CAACCUGCCUUACACUCUUGGACAGCCUUCUGAAAGGGAGAUUAAUACAAGAUGUUAUCAUGAGUAAGCAUUUUCACAUGAUUAAAGGUUUACCGGUGUAAGAUGGGGAUGCGUUCCAUUAGAUAGUAGGCGGGGUAACGGCCCACCUAGUCUUCGAUGGAUAGGGGUUCUGAGAGGAAGGUCCCCCACAUUGGAAUUGAGACACGGUCCAAACUCCUACGGGAGGCAGCAGUGAGGAAUAUUGGUCAAUGGACGAGAGUCUGAACCAGCCAAGUAGCGUGAAGGAUGAAGGUUCUAUGGAUUGUAAACUUCUUUUAUACGGGAAUAAACGGAUCCACGUGUGGAUUUUUGCAUGUACCGUAUGAAUAAGGAUCGGCUAACUCCGUGCCAGCAGCCGCGGUAAUACGGAGGAUGCGAGCGUUAUCCGGAUUUAUUGGGUUUAAAGGGAGCGCAGACGGGUCGUUAAGUCAGCUGUGAAAGUUUGGGGCUCAACCUUAAAAUUGCAGUUGAUACUGGCGUCCUUGAGUGCGGUUGAGGUGUGCGGAAUUCGUGGUGUAGCGGUGAAAUGCUUAGAUAUCACGAAGAACUCCGAUUG
Molecule: ribosomal RNA, 595 nt
Filed under: uncultured Bacteroidota bacterium
Lineage: Bacteria; Pseudomonadati; Bacteroidota
Description: bacterial SSU rRNA
Rfam family: Bacterial small subunit ribosomal RNA
Source: RNAcentral